UAUUAUGCCCUCAGUUGGAUAUUUUUUACGCCUCUGCCACUGACCUAUUGUUUUUACUCUCUCUUCCUCGGUUCCUCCAGAAGCCUCCCAGACCGACUUUUUUGCUCUCUUUUUUCUUCCUCCUGCUUUCUAAACAGCCUCAGAUGACUGCCUCCUUAACUGCGGCUUUUCCUCCAACGCCACCUUCUUCAACGACUUCUUCAGCGGAGAUUUCAAUUCCGGCUCGGGUUUUGUCUUCAACAACAAAAUCGCACCUCCAAACUCACCCUCUCCUUACCACACAGCAAGAGGUCUCACCACUGCUUCAAGCUAUGGCUUAAGCAUCAGGAAAAUUGGAACUCACUUGCUUUGAUGAUAUAAUGGAACCUGUGCUGAUACGUGCAAUGGAAUCUUACAAAUGUCAUUAUAAGAUCAGAGUUCGAAUAUCAAGAUUGUGGAGAGCAAAAAGUACAAUACUGACAAAAAUGAUGGUCUGCAAUGCGUUUUGGUUGAUGAAAUGGGUGAUGCAGUUCAUGCAAUUGUAACUGAAUCUGAUUACCACUUGGUUCACAAAAAGCCAGGAGAGUUACAAAAUUGUUGAUCAUUAAGUGCAAGUGUACUUCAAUGCAAAAACUAUCUUUGAAUCAGUUGAAGAAAGCUUCCCACCAAUUCCACAACAUCGGUUCUAUUUUGUAGAUUUUGACCAGCUAAGGGCACACAUUAACAACAAUACAAUUCUCUCAGGUGAAUGAACAAACUACAAAUAAUAAAUCUUUAUUCAUUAUAUGACAUUUAAUAAUCUUCACUAACAGAAUCUUUGUUUGUUUGUUUUUUUUUUUAAUGCAAGAUGUUUAUAGCUGUUUGAAGUCAGU
Molecule: long non-coding RNA, 851 nt
Organism: Rosa chinensis
Lineage: Eukaryota; Viridiplantae; Streptophyta; Magnoliopsida; Rosales; Rosaceae
Exons: 3
Source: RefSeq, a predicted model, not a curated record